Molecule: ribosomal RNA, 634 nt
Filed under: uncultured bacterium
Lineage: Bacteria
Description: bacterial SSU rRNA
Rfam family: Bacterial small subunit ribosomal RNA
Source: RNAcentral
UGCUCUUUAUGAAUCCAGUGGCAAACGGGUGAGUAACACGUAAACAACCUGCCUUCAGGAUGGGGACAACAGACGGAAACGACUGCUAAUACCGAAUACGAUUCUUGAGUCGCAUGACACAAGAAAGAAAGGGUGGCCUCUACUUGUAAGCUAUCGCCUGGAGAGGGGUUUGCGUCCGAUUAGGUAGUUGGUGAGGUAACGGCCCACCAAGCCGACGAUCGGUAGCCGGUCUGAGAGGAUGAACGGCCACAUUGGAACUGAGACACGGUCCAGACUCCUACGGGAGGCAGCAGUGGGGAAUCUUCCGCAAUGGGCGAAAGCCUGACGGAGCAACGCCGCGUGAGUGAAGACGGCCUUCGGGUUGUAAAACUCUGUGAUUCGGGACGAAAGAUAAGUAGACGAAUAAUCUGCAUAAGUGACGGUACCGAAAAAGCAAGCCACGGCUAACUACGUGCCAGCAGCCGCGGUAAUACGUAGGUGGCAAGCGUUGUCCGGAAUUAUUGGGCGUAAAGCGCGCGCAGGCGGCUACUUAAGUCCAUCUUAAAAGUGCGGGGCUUAACCCCGUGAUGGGAUGGAAACUGAGAAGCUGGAGUGUCGGAGAGGAAAGUGGAAUUCCUAGUGUAGCGGUGAAAUG